RNAcentral lists this ribosomal RNA (118 nucleotides) under Lepisosteus oculatus (spotted gar). Lineage: Eukaryota; Metazoa; Chordata; Actinopteri; Semionotiformes; Lepisosteidae. The record is from RNAcentral.
GACAGCAGCCAUAUCACCCCUAACUCACAGCUGACACGCCAGUGGAUCUCAGCAGGUGUGAGCCUGGUCAGUACCUGGAUGGGAGACCUCCUGGGAAAAACUAAGGUUGCUGCUGGAA